Molecule: transfer RNA, 70 nt
Filed under: Channa ornatipinnis
Lineage: Eukaryota; Metazoa; Chordata; Actinopteri; Anabantiformes; Channidae
Also listed under: 1 other name
Description: tRNA-Phe
Rfam family: tRNA
About the family: Transfer RNA (tRNA) molecules are approximately 80 nucleotides in length. Their secondary structure includes four short double-helical elements and three loops (D, anti-codon, and T loops).
Source: RNAcentral
GCUAAUGUAGCUUAAAUUAAAGCAUAACCUUGAAGACGUUAAGACGAACCAUUAGAAAGUUCCAUAAGCA